Molecule: long non-coding RNA, 968 nt
Organism: Epinephelus fuscoguttatus (brown-marbled grouper)
Lineage: Eukaryota; Metazoa; Chordata; Actinopteri; Perciformes; Serranidae
Exons: 3
Source: RefSeq, a predicted model, not a curated record
CUCUGGUUGAGGAAACACUGCAUCACUAGUGUGAUUAUUUAUCCCUGAUUUCCAGAGUGCAACAUCAGGACCUUAAGACACAAAGUUUGUGACAGUCAAACGUGGCGUGCCGAUUCUUGGAGCAGACACCAACUGACCACUGUAGCAGGGCCCAUGCUCACAGGUGCCUGGGGGUACCAGAAGCUCAAAACAAGAGUCAAUAGCAACAGCUGGAGUCAUGUUUUUAAUGAACACCCAGUAGCGUCAGCUUGAAAUGAUCCCAGACUUUGGACACUUCUUGCCGUUUGCUCUGGCCCGUCUCUUCUCUUCAUCCCUCACCAUGUUCCCUCUCUUCUGCCAUUCUGCAGUCAGCGUAAUCAGAUCAUGUCUUGUAUGAUCGUAUGUAUGAUUUUCAGGUUUCUCUUGAGUCACAUGUCCAUGGUGUAAGCGUGUUGUGCCACAGUAAGAGUCAUCACAAUGCACUGUAUAUAGUUAUAUGGAUGAGAUGAAACUUCAGUACAUAUCUGAAUCUGAAUAAUUUGUAUCAGUGAUUUUCAGUUUCAGCCCUAAAUGCAACACAAAAAGAUUCAUAAAAUCCUUCUUCCUAUGUCGUAGCAUUUGAGAGACUUUUGAGAGAUUGAUUUAUUCUUAGAUUAAUGACAGUAAUGCCUCUAAGACUUUUUAAGGAUCCACAGGAACCCUGAUUAAAGAAAGACUGAAGGAACAAAUGUUGGACAUUGAAAAAGUGUGUGAACGUGACAGAGUUGAUGAUGUUGUGACGUUUUGGUGAAGAAACUCUGUGGUGCCACUGAAAGAGUUGUGUUUACUUCAGCUGGAGUUUAUAGAUGUCUGUUAGGAUCAGGGUUCUGCUGUCAGUCAAGCUGAGAGAGGAACAGUAAUGCUGUCUUAUAUAUAUAAUAUUAUUAAAAGAUUGUUUGUUGAUGCUAUGUGAGAGCAACAUUUAACUUUGUAUUGUUUUAGGUGAUUUA